This 468-nucleotide ribosomal RNA is filed under the name uncultured bacterium. RNAcentral describes it as "partial 16S ribosomal RNA". It matches the Rfam family "Bacterial small subunit ribosomal RNA", at positions 28 to 507 of the family's 1533-position model. The record is from RNAcentral.
GACGAACGCUGGCGGCGUGCUUAACACAUGCAAGUCGAACGGAAAGGCCCUGCUUUUGUGGGGUGCUCGAGUGGCGAACGGGUGAGUAACACGUGAGUAACCUGCCCUUGACUUUGGGAUAACUUCAGGAAACUGGGGCUAAUACCGGAUAGGAGCUCCUGCUGCAUGGUGGGGGUUGGAAAGUUUCGGCGGUUGGGGAUGGACUCGCGGCUUAUCAGCUUGUUGGUGGGGUAGUGGCUUACCAAGGCUUUGACGGGUAGCCGGCCUGAGAGGGUGACCGGCCACAUUGGGACUGAGAUACGGCCCAGACUCCUACGGGAGGCAGCAGUGGGGAAUAUAGCACAAUGGGCGGAAGCCUGACGCAGCAACGCCGCGUGCGGGAUGACGGCCUUCGGGUUGUAAACCGCUUUCGCCUGUGACGAAGCGUGAGUGACGGUAAUGGGUAAAGAAGCACCGGCUAACUACGUG